RNAcentral lists this ribosomal RNA (497 nucleotides) under uncultured bacterium. RNAcentral describes it as "partial 16S ribosomal RNA". It matches the Rfam family "Bacterial small subunit ribosomal RNA", at positions 28 to 507 of the family's 1533-position model. The record is from RNAcentral.
GAUGAACGCUGGCGGCGUGCCUAAUACAUGCAAGUCGAGCGAACGGACGAGAAGCUUGCUUCUCUGAUGUUAGCGGCGGACGGGUGAGUAACACGUGGAUAACCUACCUAUAAGACUGGUAUAACUUCGGGAAACCGUAGCUAAUACCGGAUAAUAUUUUGAACCGCAUGGUUCAAAAGUGAAAGACGGUCUUGCUGUCACUUAUAGAUGGAUCCGCGCUGCAUUAGCUAGUUGGUAAGGUAACGGCUUACCAAGGCAACGAGGCAUAGCCGACCUGAGAGGGUGAUAGGCCACCCUGGAGCUGAGACACGGUCAAGACUCCUACGGGAGGCAGCAGUAGGGAAUCUUCCGCAAUGGGCGAAAGCAUGACGGAGCAACGCCGAGUGAGUGAUGAAGGUCUUCGGAUCGUAAAAAUCUGUUAUUAGGGAAGAACAUAUGUGUAAGUAACUGUGCACAUCUUGACGGUACCUAAUCAGAAAGCCACGGCUAACUACGUG